AAAGUUUGACAGACAAUCGCUGGCGGCCUUGUUGCCGCGAGAGGAAAGUCCGGGCUCCACAGGGCAGGAUGCUGGAUAACGUCCAGUCAGCGCGAGCUGAAGGAUAGUGCCACAGAAAUGGACCGCCGAUGGCCGGCUUAUAGCCGGCACAGGUAAGGGUGGAACCGUGGUGUAAGAGACCACGAGGAGCAUAGGUGACUAUGUUCCUGGUAAACCCCAUCUGGAGCAAGACCGAGAGGACGCAGCAGCCGUUAAGGCUGCAGCCUUAGCCUGAGGCGCGUCCGGGUUGGUUGCUGGAGCCGCUCAGUAAUGUGCGGCCUAGAUAGAUGAUUGUCGCUUCAUCGUGGGAGGGUCGUUCCCGUUAAAACCACCAGAAGUACAGAACCCGGCUUACGGCAAACUUUCCGC
This 408-nucleotide RNase P RNA is filed under the name Paenibacillus prosopidis. Its description in RNAcentral is "Bacterial RNase P class A". It matches the Rfam family "Bacterial RNase P class A". Rfam says of the family: Ribonuclease P (RNase P) is a ubiquitous endoribonuclease, found in archaea, bacteria and eukarya as well as chloroplasts and mitochondria. Its best characterised activity is the generation of mature 5'-ends of tRNAs by cleaving the 5'-leader elements of precursor-tRNAs. Cellular RNase Ps are ribonucleoproteins. The record is from Rfam by way of RNAcentral. Lineage: Bacteria; Bacillati; Bacillota; Bacilli; Caryophanales; Paenibacillaceae.